CUCCAUUUGAUCCUAGAAGCACAGAAAAGCACCCUCAGCUUUUCACAUGUGACAAAGGCCACUGCCAGUGGGCACGCUGUGUUUCUGCUCAGUGCAGCUGUGAACUGAACUCAGCUGUUUUCUGCCUGGGAAGCUCACGCGAUCCAGUAACACGGGGCAAUGUGUGUUUCCAGUUUCUGAAUGCUAUGCGGAAGGGCUGUGCCUCGGCAGGGCAGCACCUGCUGCCAGGUACACCUCCAGCAGGAGGGCAGGAGCAGGGCCCUGUGGCAGCCGUCAGUGAGGGAAGGUCUCUGGGCUUCUUGCUGCAGCGAGCUGGAGGCUCUGGAAAGGAAGCAGGCCCUGAGGAGGAGGAUUUGGUUAUGGAGCUGUGGAGAGACAUCUCAACUGAUAUUAAGACUUGGUCUGCUUCAGGGGCUGGAGACUCGUCGUCUUAGCAGUCCAGAUGGAAGGCACGUCUUGAAGAAUUUGCCAUGAGUAAAGAUGAUGUGUAAGAAUCUUGACACUGUUUAACAUCAAGUAAG
This 521-nucleotide long non-coding RNA is filed under the name Anser brachyrhynchus (Pink-footed goose). RNAcentral describes it as "lncRNA (ENSABRG00000011974.1)". The record is from RNAcentral. Lineage: Eukaryota; Metazoa; Chordata; Aves; Anseriformes; Anatidae.